This 82-nucleotide transfer RNA is filed under the name Bacteroidota bacterium. RNAcentral describes it as "Bacteroidetes bacterium (groundwater metagenome) tRNA-Leu". It matches the Rfam family "tRNA". Rfam says of the family: Transfer RNA (tRNA) molecules are approximately 80 nucleotides in length. Their secondary structure includes four short double-helical elements and three loops (D, anti-codon, and T loops). Lineage: Bacteria; Pseudomonadati; Bacteroidota. The record is from RNAcentral.
GCGAGGGUGGCGGAAUUGGUAGACGCGCUAGACUUAGGAUCUAGUAUCGAAAGGUGUGGGGGUUCGAGUCCCCCCUCUCGUA